Molecule: ribosomal RNA, 722 nt
Filed under: Cytobacillus oceanisediminis
Lineage: Bacteria; Bacillati; Bacillota; Bacilli; Caryophanales; Bacillaceae
Description: bacterial SSU rRNA
Rfam family: Bacterial small subunit ribosomal RNA
Source: RNAcentral
UGCAGUCGAGCGGACAGAUGGGAGCUUGCUCCCUGAAGUCAGCGGCGGACGGGUGAGUAACACGUGGGCAACCUGCCUGUAAGACUGGGAUAACUCCGGGAAACCGGGGCUAAUACCGGAUAAUUCUUUCCCUCACAUGAGGGAAAGCUGAAAGAUGGUUUCGGCUAUCACUUACAGAUGGGCCCGCGGCGCAUUAGCUAGUUGGUGAGGUAACGGCUCACCAAGGCAACGAUGCGUAGCCGACCUGAGAGGGGAUCGGCCACACUGGGACUGAGACACGGCCCAGACUCCUACGGGAGGCAGCAGUAGGGAAUCUUCCGCAAUGGACGAAAGUCUGACGGAGCAACGCCGCGUGAGUGAUGAAGGUUUUCGGAUCGUAAAACUCUGUUGUUAGGGAAGAACAAGUACCGGAGUAACUGCCGGUACCUUGACGGUACCUAACCAGAAAGCCACGGCUAACUACGUGCCAGCAGCCGCGGUAAUACGUAGGUGGCAAGCGUUGUCCGGAAUUAUUGGGCGUAAAGCGCGCGCAGGCGGUUCCUUAAGUCUGAUGUGAAAGCCCCCGGCUCAACCGGGGAGGGUCAUUGGAAACUGGGGAACUUGAGUGCAGAAGAGAAGAGUGGAAUUCCACGUGUAGCGGUGAAAUGCGUAGAGAUGUGGAGGAACACCAGUGGCGAAGGCGACUCUUUGGUCUGUAACUGACGCUGAGGCGCGAAAGCGUG